GAGUUCUUGGUCCGGUCACAUUGAAGGGAGUAAACUCAGGAACAUGGGACAUGUCGAAAUGGAAAUGGUCCUAUAAGGUCCUCCACUGAAAUUCAAAACCACUUAACUUUAAGUUUCCUAGUAACAACAAAACAAUCAUAAUAAUGGAUUUAAAUUUGAUUUGAACAGAUUGGUGUAAAGGGUGAGGCUUUGAGUCUUCAUACCAACACAGAGAGUUCCGGUGUGAGAUGGACUCAAGGAUCAUUUGUGGCGAAGAAGCAACCAUUAACCUGGUACAAGGUAAGAAAAAACACAAGGAUUAAACUAAUGUCUAUACACAAACUUAGACACAAUGAAUAAACUGAAAAAAAACAUUCUUCUAUAUGUUGCAGUCUACGUUUGCUACACCAGCAGGAAAUGAACCAUUGGCUUUAGACAUGAACACAAUGGGAAAAGGUCAAGUUUGGAUAAACGGUAGAAAUAUUGGACGUCAUUGGCCUGCAUAUAAAGCUCAAGGAUCUUGUGGACGUUGUAACUACGCUGGAACUUUCGACGCAAAGAAAUGCUUAAGUAAUUGUGGUGAAGCUUCACAAAGAUGGUACCAUGUACCUCGUUCAUGGCUUAAGUCUCAAAACCUUAUAGUUGUGUUCGAAGAGUU
RNAcentral lists this long non-coding RNA (637 nucleotides) under Arabidopsis thaliana (thale cress). RNAcentral's name for it is "long non-coding RNA (ATHA_LNC000498)". The record is from RNAcentral. Lineage: Eukaryota; Viridiplantae; Streptophyta; Magnoliopsida; Brassicales; Brassicaceae.